AGACAAUAUACCUUAAUAUUAUUGAUCAUUCUUUGACUCAAAGAAUCAUCCCAUCUUAAUUGAAAAAGGAAAUAUUUUUUUAGUAAUAAAUCUAGUUCUGCUUCCUUGAUCUUCUUAGAUUCUUUUUUAUUUCUACGUUUUUUAAUGUCUGAUCCCGCGUAAUUAUCUUCAACAUCUUUUUUUUCGUUUUGUUUUCCUAGAUCAUAUCCAAGAUAUUUUGGAUAUUGUUGUUUGUUUUUUUCUUGGUUAGAAUUUUCUAAAUCAAU
This 266-nucleotide unclassified non-coding RNA is filed under the name Hevea brasiliensis (rubber tree). The record is from RNAcentral. Lineage: Eukaryota; Viridiplantae; Streptophyta; Magnoliopsida; Malpighiales; Euphorbiaceae.